This is a long non-coding RNA of Cavia porcellus (domestic guinea pig), 472 nucleotides long. RefSeq lists it as uncharacterized. The record is from RefSeq and is a predicted model, not a curated record. The transcript has 3 exons. Lineage: Eukaryota; Metazoa; Chordata; Mammalia; Rodentia; Caviidae.
AGGGAGGUUUGGGGAGAAAGGCAAGCGGCCACAGUGUCUCAUGGAUGAUUCACGUUCUGGGGCCCAGUGGGACUCUGUCCUCAGGGCUGAGGGUGUUUACAAAGCGAGGACCCCGGCCCUGCUGAGUGACUUAAACUUCUACCCUUCUCAAGAUGAUACAGUGGUCCGCAUCCUAGGGAGUUCUGGAAGUCUUCUUCCUCUAAUGCUGUGCCAAUCUGAACUAGACACCUGCAAGAUGAGAUUCCAUGUGGAAGACAAAUAGUGCUCUCCAUUUGAUUUCCAGCCUCCUGCCAAAUGUAAAUGAGAUGAAGGAAUCAGCCAGUCCCAGAGGACUCACCUACUCACCACAAGCCAGCAGCUGACAUAACGACGUGAUCCGCCGUAGCAAAGAAACAGAAGAAUCACCCAGCUGAACCCAGCCCAGUUUACUGACCCGUAAAAUUGUGAACUAAAUAAAACAGUCGUGGUUUGA